Molecule: non-coding RNA, 119 nt
Organism: Rhizoctonia solani AG-1 IB
Lineage: Eukaryota; Fungi; Basidiomycota; Agaricomycetes; Cantharellales; Ceratobasidiaceae
Source: Rfam
AGCGGCAGAGGUGAACACAUAACGCAUUCAACCCUCGCCUUUUACUAGAGUUGACCGUGGGUCUGCCUCAUUCAAUGCCGCCUAGCAAUUUUUCGGAAAUUAGUCCUUCUCGGACAUAU